ACGGAAACGACUGCUAAUACCGAAUAAGUUCCAAGGGUCGCAUGAUCCAUGGAAGAAAAGGUGGCCUCUACCUGUAAGCUAUCGCCUGAAGAGGGGUUUGCGUCUGAUUAGCUGGUUGGAGGGGUAACGGCCCACCAAGGCGACGAUCAGUAGCCGGUCUGAGAGGAUGAACGGCCACACUGGAACUGAGACACGGUCCAGACUCCUACGGGAGGCAGCAGUGGGGAAUCUUCCGCAAUGGGCGAAAGCCUGACGGAGCAACGCCGCGUGAGUGAUGACGGCCUUCGGGUUGUAAAACUCUGUGAUCCGGGACGAAAAGGCAGAGUGCGAAGAACAAACUGCAUUGACGGUACCGGAAAAGCAAGCCACGGCUAACUACGUGCCAGCAGCCGCGGUAAUACGUAGGUGGCAAGCGUUGUCCGGAAUUAUUGGGCGUAAAGCGCGCGCAGGCGGCUUCCCAAGUCCCUCUUAAAAGUGCGGGGCUUAACCCCGUGAUGGGAAGGAAACUGGGAAGCUGGAGUAUCGGAGAGGAAAGUGGAAUUCCUAGUGUAGCGGUGAAAUGCGUAGAGAUUAGGAAGAACACCGGUGGCGAAGGCGACUUUCUGGACGAAAACUGACGCUGAGGCGCGAAAGCGUGGGGAGCAAACAGGAUUAGAUACCCUGGUAGUCCACGCCGUAAACGAUGGAUACUAGGUGUAGGAGGUAUCGACCCCUCCUGUGCCGGAGUUAACGCAAUAAGUAUCCCGCCUGGGAA
Molecule: ribosomal RNA, 754 nt
Filed under: uncultured bacterium
Lineage: Bacteria
Description: bacterial SSU rRNA
Rfam family: Bacterial small subunit ribosomal RNA
Source: RNAcentral